RNAcentral lists this ribosomal RNA (253 nucleotides) under uncultured bacterium. RNAcentral describes it as "partial 16S ribosomal RNA". It matches the Rfam family "Bacterial small subunit ribosomal RNA", at positions 524 to 776 of the family's 1533-position model. The record is from RNAcentral.
UACGUAGGGGGCAAGCGUUAUCCGGAAUUACUGGGCGUAAAGCGCACGUAGGCGGCUUUGUAAGUUAGAGGUGAAAGCCCAGGGCUUAACCCUGGAAUUGCCUUUAAGACUGCAUCGCUAGAAUCGUGGAGAGGUGAGUGGAAUUCCGAGUGUAGAGGUGAAAUUCGUAGAUAUUCGGAAGAACACCAGUGGCGAAGGCGACUCACUGGACACGUAUUGACGCUGAGGUGCGAAAGCGUGGGGAGCAAACAGG